This 400-nucleotide ribosomal RNA is filed under the name uncultured bacterium. RNAcentral describes it as "bacterial SSU rRNA". It matches the Rfam family "Bacterial small subunit ribosomal RNA", at positions 355 to 768 of the family's 1533-position model. The record is from RNAcentral.
CCGAGAAUAUUGGACAAUGGGGGAAACCCUGAUCCAGCGACACCGCGUGUGGGAAGAAGGUCUUCGGAUUGUAAACCACUUUUAUAUGGGAGCAAGUUAUUGAGAGUACCAUGGGAAUAAGGGGUUGCUAACUCUGUGCCAGCAGCAGCGGUAAUACAGAGACCCCGAGCGUUAUCCGGAUUUAUUGGGCAUAAAGGGUGCGUAGGCGGUUGGAGAAGUCUCGAGUUAAAUAUCCAGAGCUCAACUUUGGAAAUGCUUGGGAAACCAUUCAACUGGAAGAUGCUAGAGGCAAACGGAACCAUCGGUGUAGGGGUGAAAUCCGUUGAUAUCGAUGGGAACACCAAAAGCGAAGGCAGUUUGCUGGGGCAAUCUUGACGCUGAGGCACGAAAGCGUGGGGAG